Juglans microcarpa x Juglans regia is the source of this 652-nucleotide long non-coding RNA. RefSeq lists it as uncharacterized. The record is from RefSeq and is a predicted model, not a curated record. The transcript is spliced from 4 exons. NCBI's taxonomy places the organism in Eukaryota, Viridiplantae, Streptophyta, Magnoliopsida, Fagales, Juglandaceae.
CAUUUUCCAAAUUAUUUGUGGUGUCAACAUUAUUUUCAAGUCUUAUCUCUUUAUUUUGAAGUUGAAAUGAAGUAUUUAGAUCUAUUUAUCCAUUUCUUAUCCUUGCAGGGAGGAAGCUAAAGAAAUACAAUCACGUUUAAAGAAAAGGAGAAAAAUGCCUCCUUCUAAUGAUGUUUUCGAUGAUGAUAAUAUUAGAAGCCAAACUGUUGUUUCCUAUAGAGAACUGGAAGCAAGGAGGAAUAGAGUGAGUCAGUUGGAGAAACUCUAUAUGGAUAUGGCAUUGCAGAAGGAACUACAGAAAAAGGGCCGGAAGCGCAAAUUACGUGAGGAUGAGCUUGCUUGUCCGACUUCUAAACCAAUAUACAAGUGGCGGUCAGAACGGAAGCCUUGAAAAGGUGUUUGGUGGGGUUUUUAUAAGGACGCUUCGUAUUUAAAAGAGCAGAAGGCACCAGCAUUUUGUUUGUCAGAUUGGAGGCGUUUCAGUUUUUCCAAGGGUAUAUAUGUCAAAUUUUUAUGGACGGUUACAUUGUGAUAUUUUUUUAUUGUUUGAGGGGAUAAUUGCCAAAAUUGAUAGCUAAUGGGUGAUUACAAAUUGGUUGGUAGUUUGAGGAUGUUAUUUAUAUUUAUCCAUAUUUUAUUUAUUUGAUUUUGA